UACGGAGGGUCCAAGCGUUAUCCGGAAUCAUUGGGUUUAAAGGGUCCGUAGGCGGUUUUGUAAGUCAGUGGUGAAAGCCCAUCGCUCAACGGUGGAACGGCCAUUGAUACUGCAAAACUUGAAUUAUUGGGAAGUAACCAGAAUAUGUAGUGUAGCGGUGAAAUGCUUAGAUAUUACAUGGAAUACCAAUUGCGAAGGCAGGUUACUAUCAAUAUAUUGACGCUGAUGGACGAAAGCGUGGGGAGCGAACAGG
Molecule: ribosomal RNA, 253 nt
Filed under: uncultured bacterium
Lineage: Bacteria
Description: partial 16S ribosomal RNA
Rfam family: Bacterial small subunit ribosomal RNA
Source: RNAcentral